Molecule: ribosomal RNA, 742 nt
Filed under: uncultured bacterium
Lineage: Bacteria
Description: bacterial SSU rRNA
Rfam family: Bacterial small subunit ribosomal RNA
Source: RNAcentral
AGCGGCGGACGGGUGAGUAACACGUGGGUAACCUGCCCAAGAGACUGGGAUAACACCUGGAAACAGAUGCUAAUACCGGAUAACAACACUAGACGCAUGUCUAGAGUUUGAAAGAUGGUUCUGCUAUCACUCUUGGAUGGACCUGCGGCGCAUUAGCUAGUUGGUAAGGUAACGGCUUACCAAGGCAAUGAUGCAUAGCCGAGUUGAGAGACUGAUCGGCCACAUUGGGACUGAGACACGGCCCAAACUCCUACGGGAGGCAGCAGUAGGGAAUCUUCCACAAUGGACGCAAGUCUGAUGGAGCAACGCCGCGUGAGUGAAGAAGGGUUUCGGCUCGUAAAGCUCUGUUGGUAGUGAAGAAAGAUAGAGGUAGUAACUGGCCUUUAUUUGACGGUAAUUACUUAGAAAGUCACGGCUAACUACGUGCCAGCAGCCGCGGUAAUACGUAGGUGGCAAGCGUUGUCCGGAUUUAUUGGGCGUAAAGCGAGUGCAGGCGGUUUAAUAAGUCUGAUGUGAAAGCCUUCGGCUCAACCGGAGAAUUGCAUCAGAAACUGUUGAACUUGAGUGCAGAAGAGGAGAGUGGAACUCCAUGUGUAGCGGUGGAAUGCGUAGAUAUAUGGAAGAACACCAGUGGCGAAGGCGGCUCUCUGGUCUGCAACUGACGCUGAGGCUCGAAAGCAUGGGUAGCGAACAGGAUUAGAUACCCUGGUAGUCCAUGCCGUAAACGAUGAGUGCUAAGUGU